AUGCUGAGAUUUUAGAGAAGAAACACUCUCCCAAAGUUUAUUCAAGUACCCACUUCUUCUACUUCAUCUUUAAAACCUUCGAUUCUUCAUAUAUUCCGAUACAUACAAGGUUUUAAACCCCGAAGCUUCGUUCCACCCAACCAAGCCUCGCUCAUCUUAGCAUUUUCAUAAACCACUCUUUUCGACCUCCCGAAGGGCUGCCCAAAUUCGUUCGUGUGCUUAAAGUCGUAUCGAACCUCCGACGAAUUUCUCCGGCGAACUUUCGUGCAUUAAUCGUGUAAGUGGUUUCUUUUAGCUUCAACUAUCCGUGUCUUAAUCGACCAUUUUCAAAGGGCUUUUUAAACAAAUUUCUCUUCAUCUUAAGCUCUCUUGAUUUCAAAAUACUCGAGUUGGCCACUCGUUAUUAUCGGGAAUAUUGUGCACUAACUUUACUUGCUCACUAACUCAUAUUUGUGCUCCCAUUCCCAUCACUCCCAUACCCUUCUUGUUUUAGUGAGAAACCCAUUUUUCAGCCCUGUGCUCGGUGGGGAUAUCAUUGAGAUAAGAUACGUGGUAUUACGUGUUUAUUUUCCGAACGUGUGUGUCGGGUGUGAUUUUACUUGUUUCGGUGGUAAACCCCGUUUGGGCCUUCUCGCUAUCGCGGGGUGUUAUCCGAACAAGCUACUUGGUUCGAUUGCGUUCGUGAGAGUGUGUGUGAUAUAUCUUGCUCGACUUCGACUCCGUCUUUUCAAAACUCACUCAUCACUCGAUCUUAUUAAAAUCAACAACUUAUAUUUCUCCGCGCGAUAUAAUUUGUUAAAAUUGAACCAACGACUUAACCACCAUACUAAAACGUUAUAAUCGACUAACUUCAACGUGGUUAAAAUUCGACUAAAACUUGCGGAACCAAAACUUUUAUAAAACAAGGAUAUAUUUGCUUGUGGAUAUUGUGUUCUAACUUUUGCAGUGAGGUGAAGUGAAGUGAGGUGAUCUUCGUUCUAAGACCCAAGUCUUUGACGUAUUGACGGGGAGUUGAUAGUCAUCGCACCGUGAAGAAGAGGAAAGACCCAAGACCUAAUACCUAAGAUCCAAGACCGGCGAAAGGUUUAGAAGUACAAAGACCACUGGAGGUGCAACGACUUUGAGGAAGUAACAAGGAUAGUUACGUUCCGAGACAAGUCUUGUUAUUUACAUUUAUAGUGAGGAGGUAACGAAGAGUUACGCUCCAAGAUAUAUAUUUGUAAAGGCUUCUCCGCCUACUGUAAAGGAGUUCUUUAUAGUAGAGAAAAUCUCGAGUCCGGGGAGGAGCUCGGGGACUGGACUAGGGGUGAGUGGACUCCAAGGGUUGAGUUAGCCACCGCGAACCAGGAUAAAAUCGCUCGUGUGAUAUUUUCCUUUUCUUUUCUUACACUUCCGCACGUAACUGCCAAUACUCUCGAUACAAGUUCUAAAGAAGGGGUGAAAACUUUUUAAAACGACAUAAAUAUUUUUAAUUGGUGAUUAAGCUAUUCAACCCCCCCCUUCUAGCUUAAUUAAACCAUCUAUCGGGACCUAACAUAGGUCAAUGUCAAUCUCAGGAACAAAGUAAGAUUUAUUUUCAAUCUUAUUGUAUCAUCAAAUUGAUUUAGAUUUGGUUCCUGAGAAUUAUUUAUAUUGUUUCUUUUUGAAAAGGACUGCUGUGAAUGGCGAAGCUGCUCAUAGAGAGUCCAUAACAACUGCUGCUGCUCAGAGAGCUACUAGUAGGAUUGCUGUGAAUGACGAAGCUGUUCAGGACCACGAAAUUCCACCUGGAUUUAGGAAAUUGAUAAAUGUGCGUGGCUGGACGGUGAUGGACGAUGCUUACUGCAUUUUUGCGGAUGACUAUAAAGAAAAAAAUCGUGAAAAGUUUCCACCAACCCGAAGCGGACUUGGAAUGUCAAAAGAGUGAGGGUCAUGAGUUCUAAGGACAAAUUCCCGUAUGUCAAAAGUGCCAAAGAAAAUAAAAGCUAAAGGACUUACCAAACGACCUUACUAGUUUAGAACUAUGCAUAUGCAAGUCUACUUGGAGGAAUGCUAAAAUAAAGUUGCUUGGGGGAAUGCUGAAAUGAAGUUGCUAGCUCAGAAGUUGGGAGUUUAAGAUUUCAGACUAAGUUUUUAUUCUUGUUUAAACCAGGAUCAGUUGGUGGUACUAUCUAUGUUUGAUUGUCAGACAACGUAGUUUUUUGUUUUUUAAUGCAAAUUGCA
This is a long non-coding RNA of Daucus carota subsp. sativus, 2202 nucleotides long. RefSeq lists it as uncharacterized. Lineage: Eukaryota; Viridiplantae; Streptophyta; Magnoliopsida; Apiales; Apiaceae. The record is from RefSeq and is a predicted model, not a curated record. The transcript has 7 exons.